GACGAACGCUGGCGGCGUGCCUAAUACAUGCAAGUUGAGCGCUGAAGGUUGGUACUUGUACCAACUGGAUGAGCAGCGAACGGGUGAGUAACGCGUGGGGAAUCUGCCUUUGAGCGGGGGACAACAUUUGGAAACGAAUGCUAAUACCGCAUAAAAACUUUAAACACAAGUUUUAAGUUUGAAAGAUGCAAUUGCAUCACUCAAAGAUGAUCCCGCGUUGUAUUAGCUAGUUGGUGAGGUAAAGGCUCACCAAGGCGAUGAUACAUAGCCGACCUGAGAGGGUGAUCGACCACAUUGGGGCUGAGACACGGCCCAAACCCCUACGGGAGGCAGCAGGAGGGAAUCUUCGGCAAUGGACGAAAGUCUGACCGAGCAACGCCGCGUGAGUGAAGAAGGUUUUCGGAUCGUAAAACUCUGUUGGUAGAGAAGACCGUUGGUGAGAGUGGAAAGCUCAUCAAGUGACGGUAACUACCCAGAAAGGGACGGCUAACUACGUG
This 497-nucleotide ribosomal RNA is filed under the name uncultured bacterium. RNAcentral's name for it is "partial 16S ribosomal RNA". It matches the Rfam family "Bacterial small subunit ribosomal RNA", at positions 28 to 507 of the family's 1533-position model. The record is from RNAcentral.